UCGGCGGGCCGAGCCGCCCCUUUCUCCCGCCCCUCCUCCUCCCUUUCCCACCCCUCGGAGUGGAGCUGCACAUGCGGCUGCUCCCAGUUCCGUCCCGCCCAGCCACCGUCGCGCAGGAACGGGUCCCUGCAGCCCCCAGCCGAUGGCAGGACAGUAGCCGCCUGUCAGGGGUCGUGAACGGCUGAGACAGACGCAGCGGCUCCCGGGCCUCAGAGAGUGGGUGUCUCCAGAGGCCAUGGGCUACCCUGAGGUAGAGCGCAAAGAACCCCUGCCUGCGGCAGCGCCAGCGCCAGCGCCAGCGCCACGGGAGCGGGGCAGCCAGGGCUGCGGCUGUCGCGGGGCCCCUGCCCGGGCGGGCGAAGGGAACAGCUGCCGGCUCUUCCUGGGUUUCUUUGGCCUCUCGCUGGCCCUCCACCUGCUGACGUUGUGCUGCUACCUAGAGUUGCGGUCCGAGUUGCGGCGGGAACGGGGAGCCGAGUCCCGCCUUGGCGGCCCUGGCACGCCUGGCACCUCUGGCACCCUGAGCAACCCUGGUGGCCUCGACCGCGAUGGUCCCAUCACCCGCCACCUCGGGCAGCAGUCACCUCGGCAGCAACUGUUGGAGCCAGGAGAAACCACACUCCCCCCUGACUCCCAGGACCGGCACCAGGUGAGUCACCUUGUCGGGGCGGCGUCGGCCCCCUCCCCUUGUAGGUACGGAGGGGGCCCUCCACCUCCCUCCAGGGGCGGGGGGACUCGGCCACUUGGAGCCAAGUGAGAGAGCAGGACCAGGGCGGGGUCGGGCGAGCAGGAGAGAAGUUGUCCGGGGCAGGUUGUCCUCUGUCCCCGGCCGGCUCAUCCAGACGCUCUCAGGUCCCAGGGACUUGCAAACCCUCGCCCGCGCCCGCCGCCCCCGGCUCCAGGCUGCUUUGGGAAAGUUGGCUACGCUCCCGCCUGGGCCGGCGAUUGGUGCCCGCGCUGCCCCCCUGGCCGACUAACGGCGAGCAGCCUGUGGCCCUCGUGCUCCCGGGACUUUCUCUGCCUCCGCCGCGGUGCUUGUUUUUUUCGUGUCCGAGCCGAUGCCAGCACUCGCAGGCUCUCCUUUGGAGCUGGACUGUAAACAGCUGGAAGAAGUGCUCCACGCCCGUGGAAACAACUUCUAACCACACUCUCAGCCGGGUCCUUGGGGCGCUGACCACAACGUGGGCUUGUUCACACUUACCUGCAAUUUGACACUGAUUGUCCUCGGCGUUGUAGUGAGGAUCAGCGCCCCGGAGGA
Molecule: non-coding RNA, 1258 nt
Organism: Castor canadensis (American beaver)
Lineage: Eukaryota; Metazoa; Chordata; Mammalia; Rodentia; Castoridae
Source: RefSeq, a predicted model, not a curated record